Molecule: ribosomal RNA, 254 nt
Filed under: uncultured bacterium
Lineage: Bacteria
Description: partial 16S ribosomal RNA
Rfam family: Bacterial small subunit ribosomal RNA
Source: RNAcentral
UACAGGGGGGGGCAAGCGUUGUUCGGAAUUACUGGGCGUAAAGGGCUCGUAGGUGGCCAACUAAGUCAGACGUGAAAUCCCUCGGCUUAACCGGGGAACUGCGUCUGAUACUGGAUGGCUUGAGUUCGGGAGAGGGAUGCGGAAUUCCAGGUGUAGCGGUGAAAUGCGUAGAUAUCUGGAGGAACACCCGUGGCGAAGGCGGCCCUCUGGCUCGACCCUGACGCUGAGAGGCGAAAGCGUGGGGAGCGAACGGG